CCUACGGGAGGCAGCAGUGGGGAAUAUUGCACAAUGGGGGAAACCCUGAUGCAGCGACGCCGCGUGAGUGAAGAAGUAUUUCGGUACGUAAAGCUCUAUCAGCAGGGACGAAAAUGACGGUACCUGACUAAGAAGCCCCGGCUAACUACGUGCCAGCAGCCGCGGUAAUACGUAGGGGGCAAGCGUUAUCCGGAUUUACUGGGUGUAAAGGGAGCGUAGACGGCAGCGCAAGUCUGGAGUGAAAUCCCAUGGCUUAACCAUGGAACUGCUUUGGAAACUGUGCAGCUAGAGUGCAGGAGAGGUAAGCGGAAUUCCGAGUGUAGCGGUGAAAUGCGUAGAUAUUAGGAGGAACACCAGUGGCGAAGGCGGCUUACUGGACUGUAACUGACGUUGAGGCUCGAAAGCGUGGGGAGCAAACAGGAUUAGAUACCCCUGUAGUC
This 440-nucleotide ribosomal RNA is filed under the name uncultured bacterium. RNAcentral's name for it is "partial 16S ribosomal RNA". It matches the Rfam family "Bacterial small subunit ribosomal RNA", at positions 338 to 795 of the family's 1533-position model. The record is from RNAcentral.